Oreochromis niloticus (Nile tilapia) is the source of this 496-nucleotide long non-coding RNA. RefSeq lists it as uncharacterized. The record is from RefSeq and is a predicted model, not a curated record. The transcript has 3 exons. Lineage: Eukaryota; Metazoa; Chordata; Actinopteri; Cichliformes; Cichlidae.
UACAAGUGUGACAUCAGCGGUCAUGGAGAGUCUCCAUCCAGCUGGAUCACUGUCACAGGUUCUUCCACAUCUCCUUCUCCAUCAGCUUCCACUGCCUCCCUCUCCUCCUCAUUUUCCUCUCCUCCACUCUCUGUGAUGGUGUCUGUUCCCUCCAUAUUUGGGCUGCAGCUGGUUGUACUGGUUGUACUGGUGAGACGAUGUGUCCCAAGGAAACCUGAAGCUGCAGUGCAGAGAACAGCUGGCAUCACUUAUGGAGACAUCACCAUCAGGACAAACAGCAGACACAGAGGUACAGCUGCUCCUCUUCAAAGGUCCAACCCUAAAUCAAAUGUUAAAAAGCUUAAAUCUGAGCGUGCAGCAGCAGACACUGGGAAAACCAGAACGAAAACAUUACAGCGCUUUGGUCCUUCUGCAGUGUAGAGAGACUAAUGUGGUCAUCUGAAGAUGUUAUCCGCUCCACAAGGAAGAGAAGUGUUAACCUGCUCCUGCUCACAUC